This 561-nucleotide ribosomal RNA is filed under the name Triticum aestivum (bread wheat). Its description in RNAcentral is "partial small subunit ribosomal RNA". Lineage: Eukaryota; Viridiplantae; Streptophyta; Magnoliopsida; Poales; Poaceae. The record is from RNAcentral.
AUGUGGUAUCUCCGUAGGGGAGUUGUGCUAACAAAAGACAACCUCGCACGACGCAACUGGUCGGGAAGUAAGAAGUGUUGUUUUUUUACUCAUGACGAGAUAAUUAAACACCUGUUUUUUCACUGUAAGUUUGCGUGUUCUACGUGGUCAGCCAUCCAAAUAGCGUCAAAUUUGUAUCCGCCCACGCGUUCUACGUGGUCAGCCAUCCAAAUAGCGUCAAAUUUGUAUCCGCCCACAAGUGUUGCCAAUAUUUUUGGUCAUUGGUUGGACGGUAUUUCAAAUGCAUACAAAACGCUAAUAAGGGUGGGAGCGUAUGCCUUACUAUGGUCGCUUUGGCUAUGUAGAAAUGAUGUUGUUUUUAAUGACAAAACUGUUUCUCCUUUGCAGGUUAUUUUCCGUUGUACGCACUCGCUUCGUACGUGGUGUACGCUACAACAAGCAGAGUACCAACCGCUAUUCAAGGCGGUGUGUACGCUGUUGGAGCAAGUGGCUAUGGAGGUUUUUACCCAACAUGGAUGGCAGCAUAAUCUCCGGCUCGGUCCACCAUCUCUUUCGACAUAG